Molecule: unclassified non-coding RNA, 1753 nt
Filed under: Leishmania donovani
Lineage: Eukaryota; Euglenozoa; Kinetoplastea; Trypanosomatida; Trypanosomatidae
Description: gene:LdHU3.32.3300(CDS-product:hypothetical_prote in_conserved)
Source: RNAcentral
CACUGGACGAUCUCUACUAUUCACUCCACCCGCGCGCAUAAAGUGAAAAGGGGGUGGGAAGCCAAGCCAACUAAGCCUUGCACUUCAGUGCCCUGCUUCACGUACCUGGUGUCUCUUGCAUAACCCCCGCCUCCCCCCCGACACACACACACACACACACAUAUAUAUAUAUAUAUAUAUAUAUUGGCUGAGACGCGAACUCAUGGCGGGCGCACCACCUGUGUCGUUUGUGCACACGGCGACGCGCACGCUGCUGCACGACAUCCGUACGUUCACGCACUGGGAUCCGGCGGCGAACAAGUUGCAAUGUGCGAUACGGGAUGCCGCCUACCUGGUAAUUGAUCUGCCGCGCUUCUUCAUGUACUCGCACAGCAACUACGGCGCCAUGCGGCGCUACAUCCGUCAGUCUCGCAUUAACAAAGGCAAAGUCAACCCCGAAGACUUCAAGGACGUGGACACGAACGUGCUGCGGGAGAGCCUCAUCAAGUACGCGCAGGCAAAAGGCCCACUGCAGAAGAUUGACUUUCGCUGGUUCUACUGGAUGUACGCCAUCAUGAUCAUCUACGUGGGGUGGCAGGGGAUGUAUCUGCAGUCGCUGCUCGACGCACGCGUGGAUCGGAUGGGCGCCUCACUGGAGCAGCGCCGCGAUAUGUACGACGACGACUACCUCGAGGAGGUGCGCCCGCGUUAGUGCCGUGGUGGACGCGACCCAUAGCGUGAGCACCGAUCAACACCGCUGAGAGGGGAGAGGGAGCGGCAUCCUUGCUGCAUCUCGCCAACGGUUCUUCUCAGUCGAGGUGCCGCUGCUGCGCUGUGAGGCUCACGCCCGUGUUUCGGGGCGUGCCUGCUAAGUUGUUGCAUUGCUUUCGUGAGACGUAUCGUGUUUGUGCUGCGAAGGCAAAGCGGCCCGCUUACGCUGGCCGGCUAUGCCGCUGUCUUCUGCGUCUCUUUUUCGUGUUUUGGCUCGCCUGUCUCUGCCCCACUCACGCACUGACUCACCCGCUUUCUCUCUCUCUCAUGCACGCACGUGUGGGCUUGGGGGCUGCCCAGCUGCUUUUCCUUGUCCCACGGCACGAGGGCUGGGCUGCGGUGAGAAACUCUGGACUUACGCAAAAUCCGCCGCGGGGCAUAGACCGGGGGCCGCGGCCGACAGACACAAGUGUAUGGCUCGUGUGCCGAAUCGCGCAUCCGUUUUAUGAGGGCAGCAGAGACAAGGUAAAGAAAUGGCCGAAACUGCCACCACCACCACCACGGCAGUUCUGAGCGAGCUACGCGGAGCCAAGUGCACGGCGCGUUCGCUGGGUUGGGAGGGAGAAGAAUAAUGAUGACCGAGGAGGCGCGGAGAGCGGGGGCCGGCGCGAGGCGCACUCUUUUUCCAACGACCACUGUCACACAUCGGGGCGGCAACACUGCUCUGCAAAAGGAUCAAGAAAGGUGGCAGCCGAGAAAGCGUAUACCUCCGGUGUGGGCGGUCAUUGCUGCCACAAUCCCAUGUGGUUGUGUGUGCGACCUGCUGCGGGCCAUGCGUGUCAAGGCCGCCGCCGUGAAACUUGAACGCCACGGCACACCCGUGCGGUGGACAUACUCGGUGCAGCACACCGAUACCACCCUCAUCCUCCGCUGCGGAUGCGACUGCUGCACCACCUCCCCUGCUUCCGCCCUCCUACACCUUUUCGUUCUCGUCUGCUGACUGAUUCACCUCACUUGUGCGCGAAAUCAACGAGCAACUAUCCACAAAUCAAACACGGAAAAG